RNAcentral lists this ribosomal RNA (253 nucleotides) under uncultured bacterium. Its description in RNAcentral is "partial 16S ribosomal RNA". It matches the Rfam family "Bacterial small subunit ribosomal RNA", at positions 524 to 776 of the family's 1533-position model. The record is from RNAcentral.
UACCGAGGGGGCAAGCGUUGUUCGGAAUUACUGGGCGUAAAGGGCGCGUAGGCGGCCCGCUAAGUCGAACGUGAAAUCCCCGAGCUCAACUCGGGAACUGCGUCCGAUACUGGUGGGCUUGAAUCCGGGAGAGGGAUGCGGAAUUCCAGGUGUAGCGGUGAAAUGCGUAGAUAUCUGGAGGAACACCGGUGGCGAAGGCGGCAUCCUGGACCGGCAUUGACGCUGAGGCGCGAAAGCUAGGGGAGCAAACAGG